RNAcentral lists this long non-coding RNA (690 nucleotides) under Elaeis guineensis (African oil palm). Its description in RNAcentral is "long non-coding RNA (EGUI_LNC020385)". The record is from RNAcentral. Lineage: Eukaryota; Viridiplantae; Streptophyta; Magnoliopsida; Arecales; Arecaceae.
CUCCUGGGGCUAUUGUCUCUCCAUCAUCUAUUGAAGCUACUGCAGAACAUUGAUUAGUGUCUGGAUCUAUUGGAUCAAGGAGUCAAAUUAUUAUGAAUCUGUCAUUAUAGGAGAUUGUAUGGGUCCUGCUAAAAUGGAUGGUCGGGUGAUGUCUCCCUGGGUUUACUGGAAUGACUGGCGGCAUGAGGUGGUGGAGUUAUUAUGUACUCUUAUCCUCACCAUUUUUUCUUUCCUCUUUGAGUAGGGCAAAGGUCCUUCCUCUAGCACCAAUCUUUUGCUGCAAGUCUUUGAGUCAAAGUGAAUGUCGGUCUCUUACCAACCUAAAAUUCAGCAUCUAUCUGAAGAUUGGAUCUCUACUGGAGAUUCUCUGAUCGGAGACCCUUCAAUGCUUAAAUCAAUUAAAACUUGAGAACAAUAGAGAAAAGAGGAUAAAGAGAAAGAGGGCCUAAUCUCUUAGAGAAAAAGCUUAUUUAAGAGAAUCAAUGCCCAUGAUCGUGAGAAUCACAGGUAAUGGGUUAUAGGUGUUAAUUACAUGAUAUUAGCUUAUAUGCCUGUAAUUAAAGAAAAUUAUCUAAGAUUUUGGGACACUUCUUUGGGGCUAUCUCUAUUUCUAUAAUAGCUUGAUGGCCUAGGGCUUCAUCUCUUGUUAUUGACAUGAUUCAUCUUAAGGUCGGCACGUGUAUGAGCUAG